UCGGGCACUCAACUGACUGAGCCACCCAGGUGCCCCUAUAAGGCCAUAUCUUGCAGUCCUUUUGUAACCCUCUCAUAACAUACUUCUUUCUGGCCACUGAGUAAACUUUCAAUAAAUAAUGAUUGAGUUAAAUGGGUGACUUUAUAGAGACCAAGGCAAGGCAAGAUGAAAUCAAGAAUCAAACACUGAUCUGGAUAACUAAAUCAGUGUAGACAGAAAUGUAAGAUGUUUCAGAAUCUCAAACAUUUGGUUCUCCAUUGUAGAUUUUUUCCUUUUUCAAUAAUAGUUUGGGUUAUGUUGAUUUGAACAGGGGACUGAGAGCUAGGACCCAAGUUAAAAGCUCUGCGUUGGAGAAAUUGGGAAAGUCACUUACACUCAUUUUGUAUCCCAUUUCUUUUCCCUACAGGCAAGGGUUUUUACAAAUAAAAGAGUUGGACAAGAGCUAGUCCAUGAAUCUGUCUUCUGCUCCUGAGGGGAUACGUAUGCAGGGCCUCUCCGUAGAGAGAAUGGCACAUUCUCAGUGGCACCUUUAGGACACAGCAGAUACCUACCGUCGACCCCCAUUCCUUCAGAUGUGACUAUUUUCCAUUGGUCUGUAUGGAUCUGCGGGUGGGAGAAUUAUGGGGUGACCUUGAAGACAGAAUGACACAGUGUGUUCUCAUUUCUAACCUAUCUGAGAAGCCUAGAUGGUUUAGGAAAUUGGAAUAAUUUCCUUUCAUUUUCGCAGAGAGCUGUGGUUUCUAAGAAAAAAUAUCAAUGUUUUCGACCAAUUCCUUCCACAAAGACUGGAAAAACCAUGCCCUAUCUGCUUAGCCCAGGCACUGUGGGCCAGACAAGACAGUUGCCUAUUUACACGAGCAGAAAACAAAGCCACUUCUAGAUCAGGCUAUCUGACUGCUGCAGAUCAGAUCAGCAGCACUGAAUGGGCUCAUCGCAGGGCCAGCUCCGGGUACCCCAGAAGACACGGGGCUGGCAGGGUCUACUCGCAGGUUCUCUGCCCAGCAUUCAUUCUGGCUUCUUCUUGACCAGCAGAACUCCUGCAUCAUUGAGGGCAGCAAGGUGUCCACUGAAAAGCGACACUUUUUCAGCUUCCUUUUCUCCUUACCUGUAGCCUUGUGACCUUGUUCUGGUCCUUGAAAUCCAAACGGAGCCUUCACGUGGAUCUCCAGGAAGACUCUCUAAAGACUGCCGAUUCAGCCCAGAGAUGUUGCUGUGUCGGAUGUUCUCAGAACACACAGACCCGACUACGGCAUGAUGCCCUAGGAAGUGGGCUCUGUAGUGCUUCAGGAUGAUGCGUCGGCCUAAGCAGACACAUUUUCUUCAGACGGUGCUUAUGGGGCACACCUUUCCUGCGAGGAAGAAACUGAGGACCAGAAAGUUGCAUAACUUGUUCAAGGUCUCCCUUGAGAGAACAGAGGACUUGGGAGCUGAGCCAAGAUGUGCACGUGGUUUCCACAGUGUGGUGAACCAACUUGGACACGAUACCCUCAGAGGUCUGACUGCCGCACAGCACGUCAGGACCGUUGGCCCAGGACUCAGGAGGAGUCUGGUCGUCUGCCUGCCUAGAACCUAUUGCUUGACCUUGGAUAAGUCGCUUUCCCUGUCCAGGCAUUGUGUCCCUCGCUCUAAGGUAAGGGAAUCCAAUCACAUCAUC
Lynx canadensis (Canada lynx) is the source of this 1654-nucleotide long non-coding RNA. RefSeq lists it as uncharacterized. The transcript has 4 exons. The record is from RefSeq and is a predicted model, not a curated record. NCBI's taxonomy places the organism in Eukaryota, Metazoa, Chordata, Mammalia, Carnivora, Felidae.